Molecule: ribosomal RNA, 164 nt
Filed under: uncultured bacterium
Lineage: Bacteria
Description: partial 16S rRNA
Rfam family: Bacterial small subunit ribosomal RNA
Source: RNAcentral
UAGGGAAUCUUCGGCAAUGGGGGCAGCCCUGACCGAGCAACGCCGCGUGAGUGAAGAAGGUUUCGGAUCGUAAAGCUCUGUUGUAAGAGAAGAACGUGUGUGAGAGUGGAAAGUUCACACAGUGACGGUAACUUACCAGAAAGGGACGGCUAACUACGUGCCAC